UACGGAAGGCAGCAGUGGGGAAUAUUGCACAAUGGGCGCAAGCCUGAUGCAGCCAUGCCGCGUGUAUGAAAAAGGCCUUCGGGUUGUAAAGUACUUUCAGUCGUGAGGAAGGUGUUAAGGUUAAUAACCUUAGCAAUUGACGUUAGCGACAGAAGAAGCACCGGCUAACUCCGUGCCAGCAGCCGCGGUAAUACGGAGGGUGCGAGCGUUAAUCGGAAUUACUGGGCGUAAAGGGCACGCAGGCGGUUAAUUAAGUUGGAUGUGAAAUCCCCGGGCUUAACCUGGGAAUGGCAUUCAAGACUGGUUAGCUAGAGUCUUGUAGAGGGGGUAGAAUUCCAUGUGUAGCGGUGAAAUGCGUAGAGAUGUGGAGGAAUACCGGUGGCGAAGGCGGCCCCUGGACAAAGACUGACGCUCAUGUGCGAAAGCGUGGGGAGCAAACGAGGGAUUAGAUACCCG
RNAcentral lists this ribosomal RNA (456 nucleotides) under uncultured bacterium. Its description in RNAcentral is "bacterial SSU rRNA". It matches the Rfam family "Bacterial small subunit ribosomal RNA", at positions 340 to 789 of the family's 1533-position model. The record is from RNAcentral.